CCUACGGGUGGCAGCAGUGAGGAAUAUUGGUCAAUGGGCGCGAGCCUGAACCAGCCAAGUAGCGUGAAGGAUGACUGCCCUACGGGUUGUAAACUUCUUUUAUAAAGGAAUAAAGUGAGGCACGUGCGCCUUUUUGUAUGUACUUUAUGAAUACGGAUCGGCUAACUCCGUGCCAGCAGCCGCGGUAAUACGGAGGAACCGAGCGUUAUCCGGAUUUAUUGGGUUUAAAGGGAGCGUAGAUGGGUUGUUAAGUCAGUUGUGAAAGUUUGCGGCUCAACCGUAAAAUUGCAAUUGAUACUGGCAGCCUUGAGUACAGUAGAGGUAGGCGGAAUUCGUGGUGUAGCGGUGAAAUGCGUAGAUAUCACGAAGAACUCCGAUUGCGAAGGCAGCUUACUAAGCUGCCACUGACAUUGAGGCUCGAAAGUGUGGGUAUCAAACAGGAUUAGAUACCCUUGUAGUC
RNAcentral lists this ribosomal RNA (460 nucleotides) under uncultured bacterium. RNAcentral describes it as "partial 16S ribosomal RNA". It matches the Rfam family "Bacterial small subunit ribosomal RNA", at positions 338 to 795 of the family's 1533-position model. The record is from RNAcentral.